GACGAACGCUGGCGGCGUGCUUAACACAUGCAAGUCGAACGGUAAGGCCCUUCGGGGUACACGAGUGGCGAACGGGUGAGUAACACGUGGGUGAUCUGCCCGGCACUUCGGGCUAAGCCUGGGAAACUGGGUCUAAUACCGGAUAGGACCACUGCCUGCAUGGGCGGUGGUGGAAAGCUUUUGCGGUGUGGGAUGGGCCCGCGGCCUAUCAGCUUGUUGGUGGGGGGAUGGCCUACCAAGGCGACGACGGGUAGCGGGCCUGAGAGGGUGACCGGCCACACUGGGACUGAGAUACGGCCCAGACUCCUACGGGAGGCAGCAGUGGGGAAUAUUACACAAUGGGCGCAAGCCUGAUGCAGCGACGCCGCGUGAGGGAUGACGGCCUUCGGGUUGUAAACCUCUUUCAGCACCGACGAAGCGCAAGUGACGGUAGGUGCAGAAGAAGGACCGGCCAACUACGUGCCAGCAGCCGCCGUAA
Molecule: ribosomal RNA, 478 nt
Filed under: uncultured bacterium
Lineage: Bacteria
Description: partial 16S ribosomal RNA
Rfam family: Bacterial small subunit ribosomal RNA
Source: RNAcentral